AUCCACCCAUCACCGAUAGUUCUCACUAAACCAUGUCCCUCAACACAACGUCCAAAUUUUCCUUGAACACCUCCAGUGUCGGUGACUCCACCACCUCCUCGGGCAGCCCAUUCCAGUGCCGUCGGGUCCAAACUCUUCCUUUGGGUCCAGAGAGCAGUAUGGCAUUGCUGCAGCUAAUUUUUGUCUUUGAAACCCACAAAACUGACUCACAAUCUAUCGGAACAAUUAGGACCGCUAGAACUAACAUGAUGAGCAGGAAGUGGCUGACGUUAAGGCACUAAGCUGACAGUGUGAAAGGGCAUUGUACUUCGGGCUGCAGAAAAUGCAUUCCUUCACUUGAGAUCAUUUAUCUUCUGCUGAAGUACCUCUUCUUGAUAAAUGGUGCUAGUGGGGGAGCCUGCUCAUGAUAUUUUUAAACUAGUUUGUCAGAGAAUUCAACCAGAAUGUUGUUUUGUCCUUCUCCUCCCCUGGGGAAGAUCCACACAAGGUUUAAAAACACUCUCUUGCUUUCAGAUAAUCUCUUGUCCUCUUUCGUAGGAAGAGGACGUAGAAACCUUUGUAUACGGCCUGGACCAGUGUAAGGGGAUUGCAAGGCAGCAGCAGUGAAGCACACAGGCAACUUACAAGCAUAAAUGAAAGGUGUAGGAUUCUGCACUUGCCCCUGUUGAACCUCAUCAGGUUCCUCUCUGUCCAACUCUCUAGACUGUCCAGGUCUCACUGAAUGGCAGCACAGCCCUCUGGUGUGUCAGCCACUCCUCCCUGCUACACACUGUCAAGAAGCUUACUGAAUUCUGUUCCUUCAUUCAGGUCAGUGAUGAAGAUGUUGAAGUAGGUUUUAACCCUAGAAAACUGCUGUAAGGAAAAUAAAGGAUUUAAGUACACUAUAUUAUAAGGCAGUAGUUGGGGCUUUUGUUGUGUUUUUUUUUUUUUUUUUUAAUUUUCAUUUUUUCUUCUGUUUGUCUGCUUUGACACAUGGAUGACUUCAGUUCAACAGCAACAUACACUGUG
This 1008-nucleotide long non-coding RNA is filed under the name Gallus gallus (chicken). RNAcentral's name for it is "lncRNA (ENSGALG00010006710.1)". Lineage: Eukaryota; Metazoa; Chordata; Aves; Galliformes; Phasianidae. The record is from RNAcentral.